GACGAACGCUGGCGGCGUGCCUAAUACAUGCAAGUCGAGCGAACCGACGAGGUGCUUGCACCUUUGACGUUAGCGGCGAACGGGUGAGUAACACGUAAGGAAUCUACCUAUAAGUGGGGGAUAACAGCCGGAAACGGCUGCUAAUACCGCAUAAUGCAUCGGAUUCGCAUGUUUCUGAUGCCAAAGAUUUUAUCGCUGAAAGAUGAGCUCGCGUCUGAUUAGCUAGUUGGCGGGGUAACGGCCCACCAAGGCGACGAUCGGUAGCCGGACUGAGAGGUUGAUCGGCCACAUUGGGACUGAGACACGGCCCAG
RNAcentral lists this ribosomal RNA (312 nucleotides) under uncultured bacterium. RNAcentral describes it as "bacterial SSU rRNA". It matches the Rfam family "Bacterial small subunit ribosomal RNA", at positions 28 to 334 of the family's 1533-position model. The record is from RNAcentral.